Molecule: ribosomal RNA, 486 nt
Filed under: uncultured bacterium
Lineage: Bacteria
Description: partial 16S ribosomal RNA
Rfam family: Bacterial small subunit ribosomal RNA
Source: RNAcentral
AUUGAACGCUGGCGGCAUGCCUUACACAUGCAAGUCGAACGGCAGCACGGGUGCUUGCACCUGGUGGCGAGUGGCGAACGGGUGAGUAAUACAUCGGAACAUGUCCUGUAGUGGGGGAUAGCCCGGCGAAAGCCGGAUUAAUACCGCAUACGAUCUACGGAUGAAAGCGGGGGACCUUCGGGCCUCGCGCUAUCGGGUUGGCCGAUGGCUGAUUAGCUAGUUGGUGGGGUAAAGGCCUACCAAGGCGACGAUCAGUAGCUGGUCUGAGAGGACGACCAGCCACACUGGGACUGAGACACGGCCCAGACUCCUACGGGAGGCAGCAGUGGGGAAUUUUGGACAAAGGGCGAAAGCCUGAUCCAGCAAUGCCGCGUGUGUGAAGAAGGCCUUCGGGUUGUAAAGCACUUUUGUCCGGAAAGAAAUCCUUGGCUCUAAUACAGUCGGGGGAUGACGGUACCGGAAGAAUAAGCACCGGCUAACUACGUG